Molecule: ribosomal RNA, 403 nt
Filed under: uncultured bacterium
Lineage: Bacteria
Description: bacterial SSU rRNA
Rfam family: Bacterial small subunit ribosomal RNA
Source: RNAcentral
AAUCAACGCUGGCGGCGCGCCUAACACAUGCAAGUCGCACGAGAAACUUCGUAGCAAUACGGGGGCGGUAAAGUGGCGAACGGGUGAGUAAUGCAUGGGUGACCUGUCCUCAAGAUGGGAAUAACCCUCGCGAAAGCGGGGCUAAUACCAAAUGCCAUUCCGGUCUUACGGGAUCUGGAUGAAAGGUAGCUGUUACAGGCUGUUACUUGAGGAAGGGCCCAUGUCCCANCAGCUAGUUGGUAGGGUAACGGCCUACCAAGGCUACGACGGGUAGCUGGUCUGAGAGGACGACCAGCCACACUGGCACUGAGACACGGGCCAGACUCCUACGGGAGGCAGCAGUGAGGAAUCUUGCGCAAUGGACGAAAGUCUGACGCAGCGACGCCGCGUGGGGGAUGAAGGC